AGUGCCGUUUUCUGGCCAUUUAGAACCAUUGUCGAGUUUGUAUUGGUGCAAAGCGGUGUUGCAGAAGAAAAUGAGAUGCCUAGAUUUUAGGUCAGGUGAGAGUUGAAGAGGUUUUAAGUUCUUGAGAACACAGGCUAAGGCAGAAGAAGGAGGAAUGGAGGGUGGAAGGUUGCCCAUAGUAAAGGAGGCAAGUUUAAAGAGAAGAGAUUAAACACCAAGGGAAGGCUGCUGACCCGGGUCUUCGGCACCAAAUGUUUCACGUGUCCAUGUGAAGAGAUCACCAAACAGGCUUUGUGUGAGCAACGAGGCUGUUUAUUUCACCUAGGUGCAGGUGGGCUGAGUCCGAAAAAGGAGUCCCAGCUGAUAGGCACAGUGUAGCCAGGGAAAUAGCCCACCUGCAAAUCCCCAUAACAUCACAGCCACAUGUCACUAGGGAUUGAGAGUGAUAGAAACUGAAAUUCUAUGGAGGCAAGGAGGCAAAACAGAAAACUCAAAAUAGAGCUGAGAGGUCCUAGCUGAAGGAGAAGCUCAAAUUCAGAAGUCGCCUGCCCAGAGCUGAGUUUGAUGGACUCUAGUUCUCCCGGGGAGAAAACAUAGAAAUGUUUUGUUUUGUUUUUUUUCCCUUAGGGCUUGUGGGCCACAUGGGAAAGUGAGAUUGAGCUGUGUAAAAUCCAUAGAGGUCACAGCUUUGUCAUUCUCCAAAUUCAGCAAAGCUAAUCAUCUCUUGAGGUAGAAAAAUGGCCAGGAAUCAGACAUCCUGAGCUCAAAAACAAAGAACUCUGGGAUGCUGGGCUGAUGCCGUACCAAAUCCUAAUUCCCUUUCCAGCCUAGGAAUGGCUUCAGCCGCCAAAACUAUGCUACCUUUAGCCUUAUGACAUCGGCAUAUUCUACCCCUGGAAAGGACCUCAGUCAGUCAUCUGCUCUGGCCCUCUGUCUCCAGAUAGCCAGCCAUUACAAAUGUAUGUUUAUCUUUUUGAUUUUUUUUUUUAAGAGAUGGGACGGGAUCGGCCAGGUGCAGUGGCUCACACCUGUAAUCCCAGGACUUUGGGAGGCCGAGGCGGGCAGAUCACCCGAGGUUGGGAGUUCGAGACCAGCCUGACCAACAUGGAGAAACCCCGUCUCUACUAAAAAUACAAAAUUAGCUGGGCGUGGUGGUGCAUGCCUGUAAUCCCAGCCACUUGGGAGGCUGAGGCAGGAGAAUCGCUUGAACCCGGGAGGCAGAGGUUGCGGUGAGUCGAGAUCACACCAUUGCACUCCAGCCUGGGCAACAAGAGUGAAACUCUGUCUCAAAAAAAAAAAAAAAAAAAGAUGGGAAGGGAUCUUUUUAUGUUGCCCAGGCUGGUCUUGAACUCCUGGCUCAAGCAAUCCUCUUGCCUCAGCCUCUCAAGUAGCUGAGACCACAGGCCAUGUGCCACCACACCUGGCCUUUUCUAUUUUUAAAGGUUCGCACGAACAGAGAUCCUUUUACCUCUCUGGCUUGCUAUUCUAAGGUUUAUAAUUUUUACUUAUGAUAUCCAUUAGGAAGUGCAAUUCAUCUCUAACAAAUGUUUAUUCCUCAUAUAUUUUUAAAAAUCUUAUGAAAGUUAAGGCAGAAAUAAAUUAUUUAGUAUCAGCUUUAAAGUCAUGCUCAAGUCAUUUAUUAGAUUUUUUUUCUGUCUAGUCUCAUAGAGACCCAUUACCCACAGUUCUUCUUUCUAAAACCUCUUCCCAAUAUGCCGUAAUUGGAGACUCCAAACUACGUGCUUAUGAUGUUCUCCAGAACCCCUCCUGACUACACCCAGAAUACCUACUGGAUGGUGCCUGUAAUCUUAUCCUUCGUCUUGCUUCUAAUAAGUCAGACAACUGCCAUGGAGGGUUAUUUAGGGCAACAUGGAACAGCCAAGGAGACUCUGGCCAGGACUGGCUUGGGGCCAGACUAAGCUAGUCAGGUUGGCUAGGAGAGCUCAAAGAAUUACCGGGGCUCCUUAAUAUAAACUAUUUGUAUACCCCAAAGUUUGUGAUUUUUAGGGAACUAGGGGUUUGAGGCAUAGGUACCAGGUACAUGAAGAGCAUCCUAAAGUUUGGUUUCUAGGAAAACACUCAGAUAUUCAAGUUGGAGACAGGAUGAAUGACUUCUGGAAGUUGGUAGAGUUGAGGUAAGAAGAAGGCAGAGGGAGAAGAGAAUUUCCUUAUUGUGAGAUUUUUUUUGUAUGCCCAACAGAUUUGGAUAGUCCCUGCCCACCAUCUGUUGUUUGCUUUUGUACUGAAAACGUUCGGAGUCACUUGUCUCUCUUAACCCUGGGUAUACCAACAGGAUUGCAUUAAGUUAGAGUUUUUACAGGACCAUUUACUCAGCUUGGGAACAGGAAACAAUGUUCCAACCUAUACAUUUCAGAACAAUUUUUUCCCUUAUUUCCUGAAAUUACAAAUUCAUACUCCAGAACUCCAGGUAUCCAGAAGAGAAUCCCAUAGGCCUUGUGAAAGACUGGAAAACAAACUUUAGUUUCAUAUCUAUUCUGAUCUUAUUGAGCUAACUUUAUUCAUCUUUCCUAAAGCAUUGAAGGCUUUGUGUUGACUUUUGACCUUGUUCCUUUCACACACAUAGGCUAUUCCUCAAGCUACUGAGAAGCCCCUCUCUUCACAGAUUUUUUGGUUUUGAUGCCUUCAACUUAAGGUUGUGAACUUAGGCUUCUAGACUUCAUGGGGCUUUGCCUUAGUGAUGUCAUAAGUAAGCUUUGACAUCAGUGCUCACCAAUGGCUUCUUGUUGACAAGCCCAAACUUUCAGGCCUUACCUUAGAUCAGUUAUCAGAAGCAUUUGGCACUGUUCCAACUUCUUGAAACUGUCCACUUUUGGCUUCUAAGACAUUGCUAAAUCCUGGUUCUUUUGUAUUUCUUGCUGCCCCUUAUUAGUUUUUAUCAUGGAACCCCCCUUCCCCUUCCUGUUCCUUCAAUGUUGGUUUUCCUCAGGGUUGCAUUCCUUGCCCCUUUCCCUUAUAAUUCUGCAUAUUCUCUUGAGAUAGUCUCUUCUGUGUUCACAUGGAUACUCCACAAGAACUUCAAACAGCAUAUCCAAAUAUGAAUGUAUCACCCCCACUGCCACCUGCCCA
RNAcentral lists this long non-coding RNA (3087 nucleotides) under Homo sapiens (human). Its description in RNAcentral is "non-protein coding lnc-CCDC184-4:1". The record is from RNAcentral. Lineage: Eukaryota; Metazoa; Chordata; Mammalia; Primates; Hominidae.